AUUGAACGCUGGCGGCAGGCUUAACACAUGCAAGUCGAGCGGGGUGAUGGUGCUUGCACUAUCACUUAGCGGCGGACGGGUGAGUAAUGCUUAGGAAUCUGCCUAUUAGUGGGGGACAACAUCUCGAAAGGGAUGCUAAUACCGCAUACGUCCUACGGGAGAAAGCAGGGGAUCACUUGUGACCUUGCGCUAAUAGAUGAGCCUAAGUCGGAUUAGCUAGUUGGUGGGGUAAAGGCCUACCAAGGCGACGAUCUGUAGCGGGUCUGAGAGGAUGAUCGGCCACACUGGGACUGAGACACGGCCCAGGCUCCUACGGGGGGCAGCAGGGGGGAAUAUUGGACAAUGGGGGGAACCCUGAUCCAGCCAUGCGGCGUGUGGGAAGAAGGCCUUAUGGUUGUAAAGCACUUUAAGCGGGGAGGAGGCUCUUUUGGUUAAUACCCAAGAUGAGUGGACGUUACUCGCAGAAUAAGCACCGGCUAACUCUGUGCCAGCAGCCGCCGUAA
RNAcentral lists this ribosomal RNA (503 nucleotides) under uncultured bacterium. RNAcentral's name for it is "partial 16S ribosomal RNA". It matches the Rfam family "Bacterial small subunit ribosomal RNA", at positions 30 to 523 of the family's 1533-position model. The record is from RNAcentral.